RNAcentral lists this ribosomal RNA (468 nucleotides) under uncultured bacterium. RNAcentral's name for it is "partial 16S ribosomal RNA". It matches the Rfam family "Bacterial small subunit ribosomal RNA", at positions 28 to 507 of the family's 1533-position model. The record is from RNAcentral.
GACGAACGCCGGCGGCGUGCUUAACACAUGCAAGUCGAACGGAAAGGCCCUGCUUUUGUGGGGUGCUCGAGUGGCGAACGGGUGAGUAACACGUGAGUAACCUGCCCUUGACUUUGGGAUAACUUCAGGAAACUGGGGCUAAUACCGGAUAGGAGCUCCUGCUGCAUGGUGGGGGUUGGAAAGUUUCGGCGGUUGGGGAUGGACUCGCGGCUUAUCAGCUUGUUGGUGGGGUAGUGGCUUACCAAGGCUUUGACGGGUAGCCGGCCUGAGAGGCUGACCGGCCACAUUGGGACUGAGAUACGGCCCAGACUCCUACGGGAGGCAGCAGUGGGGAAUAUUGCACAAUGGGCGGAAGCCUGAUGCAGCAACGCCGCGUGCGGGAUGACGGCCUUCGGGUUGUAAACCGCUUUCGCCUGUGACGAAGCGUGAGUGACGGUAAUGGGUAAAGAAGCACCGGCUAACUACGUG